Molecule: unclassified non-coding RNA, 332 nt
Filed under: Hevea brasiliensis (rubber tree)
Lineage: Eukaryota; Viridiplantae; Streptophyta; Magnoliopsida; Malpighiales; Euphorbiaceae
Source: RNAcentral
AAUAUUUCUGAUCUUGCUGCCUAGCCAUACCAUAGAAAUUUAUAUUUAGGAAUUUAAAUAUGUUAAGCUACUCGAAUUCAACUUUAAAAAAUAUAUAUAUAUUUGAGUAUUUUGAAUAUUUCAUCAAACUGAGUUCGAGCUUUAAUUAAAAAAAAAGUUGAUCGAGUCGAAUCAAGUUUUGAACUUUUUAGCUUAAGAUUUGAGUCGAGCUCAAGUUUGACACUUUAUUGAUUCGAUUACUCCCUUAUUUAUAUUAUACACAAUAAUAAUGUAUAUUAUAUUAUCCUUCCAUUGUCAAGAACUCAAAUUAAAGAAAGAAAGAAAGAAAGAAA